UGCCUCCUGGUACUUACCACAGGCUGUGUUCUUGCACUGACUGUAUACAAAAAGGAGGCAGAAUGAGCCUACCCCAUAUACACCUUAGCCCAGGCUUUGUACCUGGCCUGAAUUGCGAGUGGGGGACAUGG
RNAcentral lists this small nucleolar RNA (131 nucleotides) under Dasypus novemcinctus (nine-banded armadillo). Its description in RNAcentral is "Small nucleolar RNA SNORA51 (ENSDNOG00000038036.1)". It matches the Rfam family "Small nucleolar RNA SNORA51". From Rfam's summary of the family: ACA51 is a member of the H/ACA class of snoRNA that guide the sites of modification of uridines to pseudouridines. The record is from RNAcentral. Lineage: Eukaryota; Metazoa; Chordata; Mammalia; Cingulata; Dasypodidae.